This 374-nucleotide ribosomal RNA is filed under the name uncultured organism. RNAcentral's name for it is "partial 16S ribosomal RNA". It matches the Rfam family "Bacterial small subunit ribosomal RNA", at positions 527 to 896 of the family's 1533-position model. The record is from RNAcentral.
GUAGGUGGCAAGCGUUGUCCGGAAUUAUUGGGCGUAAAGCGCGCGCAGGCGGUUCUUUAAGUCUGAUGUGAAAGCCCACGGCUCAACCGUGGAGGGUCAUUGGAAACUGGAGAACUUGAGUACAGAAGAGGAAAGCGGAAUUCCACGUGUAGCGGUGAAAUGCGUAGAGAUGUGGAGGAACACCAGUGGCGAAGGCGGCUUUCUGGUCUGUAACUGACGCUGAGGCGCGAAAGCGUGGGGAGCAAACAGGAUUAGAUACCCUGGUAGUCCACGCCGUAAACGAUGAGUGCUAAGUGUUAGGGGGGUUCCCCGCCCCCCUUAGUGCUGCAGCUAACGCAUUAAGCACUUCGCCUGGGAGUACGGCCGCAAGGCUG